RNA transcript from Syngnathus acus (greater pipefish), 2454 nucleotides. It is a transcript of the gene named protein tweety homolog 2-like, with no coding region annotated. Lineage: Eukaryota; Metazoa; Chordata; Actinopteri; Syngnathiformes; Syngnathidae. The transcript is spliced from 14 exons. The record is from RefSeq and is a predicted model, not a curated record.
CCUAUGUCACAUGAGAAAAGGAUCCUUUUUCCUCCAGCUUGAAUUCCUCUUCCGGAAGAGGAGAAAAAAAGACUGCACCGUGAUGUCGUAUUCUUUGACCAGUUCAUCGAUUCACCGACGGCACCCGCUGUCCUCUCGCUGGUUUGAUCCGUGCUGGACGCCCAAUCGCACCUCGGUGCGCCUGCCCCGUCGUCCACAAGAGGUCAGACACGAACAGCACAAGUCGUCCAUUCACGAGGGGCGCUGAAUGCAUGAGCUCGAGCCAAAACGCUCACGAAUGAAUAAAAACGAUGUGCAUAGAUGGCGGAAGUGGAUAGCUCUGCGUGUUGGGCUUGAGUAUGUAGCUUGGGCUCGGGAAUGGGACGGGAGGCGUGACGUAGGUGGGCCUGGGUGAGCGCCACGCCCUCCCUGUUACGGCGGCCAAGUUGACGCGGUCACUCAAGUCCCGUGCCUCGGAUCCGAGCACGGAAAGCCGCAUCGUGGAAGCAACGUGGCUACCACUCGCCUUUGAUACGUACCCUCCUACUCGUGGAAUCCCGCAACUUUGGCUCUUGCCCCCGCCCUCAGCCGUGGAUCGUCGUCGGGGCUUGGCUGUGCACCUUCGCCUGCCGCCGCCGCAGGGAUGGCCACCGCCAGUCUCAACUAUGUGGCUCCAUGGUGGAUCUACUGGCUGCACAAUUUGCCUCACUUUGACUUGUCGCUCAAGCCUGUGGACAGCACCUUUAGACCCGAGCAGGAGGACUACCAGCAGUCUGUGGCGGUCCUGGCCUGUGUGGGAGCGGUGGGCCUCAGUCUGAGCCUGGUGCUUUUGGUUCUCUUCUUGGUCUGCUCGCGUAUCUGCCGCAGGGACGCGCACGAAGACGUCAAAAGGCCCGAGAGGACCCGCUGCGCGACGUGGUCGGCCGUCGUCACCGCUCUCAUCGUAUGUUGUGCUGUGGCAGUGGGUUUCUAUGGAAACAGCGAGACCAACGAUGGCGUGCACCGGUUCACCUAUUCCAUCUCCAACGCCAAUCGGACUUUGGGCGCCAUCGACAGCCUGCCGGCGGGCUCUCUAGGAAGUGCGCAAACGGGCGUCCAGCGGCACCUGGAGCGUCUGGAUGAGAUCUUGGCCGCACGGGCCGAUUACCUUCAGGCUCUACGCUUCGUGCGGCUGAUGGUGAACAACGUCAUCCGGGAGCUGAAUGCCCUGCCCAACCUCGACAAAGCCAACGUGGGGCUGACGGCCGCCGCGGCCCACGCCGCCUUCGUUGAGUAUUACAGAUGGCUGACCUACCUUCUCCUGCUGAUCUUUGAUCUGCUCAUCUGUCUGGCCAUCUGCUUGGGGAUGACCAAGCAGUCUCGGUGGCUGCUCGUCAUGAUGAUGGCCUUGGUCGUGCUGUCUGUGAUCCUGAGCUGGGCCUCACUGGGAGCCAGCUGGGCUACAGCUGUGGGCACCGCCGACUUCUGCGUGUCUCCCGACAAGUUUAUCGUCAACCGAAGCAAAGAAUUCCUCAGUGCGGAUAUUGCUCACUAUUAUUUGUUCUGCAGUCCGAAUCUACCCAACCCCUUCCAACAGUCGCUGACGGUCUGCCAGCGCUCGCUGACCACCAUGCAGAUCCAGAUCCAGGGUUUGCUGCAGUUCUCCAUGCCCGCCUUCCCCACCGCCGAGAGAGACCUGUUAGGCAUCCAGGGCCUGUUGAAUGCCAGCGAAUUCAAUCUGCACCAGCUGACAGCCUUGCUUGAUUGUCGCGGACUGCACAAGGACUACCUGGACGGCCUAAUGGGCGUAUGCUACGAUGGCGUGGAAGGCCUCCUCUACCUGGCUUUGUUCUCCCUGCUGGCGGCGUGCGCGCUCUCUGCCAUGCUGUGUGCCAUUUGGCGAGUGUGGACGCUAAUCGGCAGCAGAGACAAAGAAUAUGACGACAUAGACGAGGAGGACCCGUUCAACCCUCAAGCGCGCCGCAUGUCCUAUAACGCCAGGAGGUCCAACAUCCACAGCUUCUGCAGCUACACCAGCAGUGCUGGCAGCCAGGCCAGCAUCCAUCCUCCGCCUCAGGCGGCCGCCGCUGUACCGCCCGCCCCAGAAUACAUGAAUCAGUCCAUGCUGUUUGGCGGGAGCCCUCGGUACGAGAACGUCCCGUUGAUAUGCAGAGGAUCCCCGCCACCGUCGGUGCGUUGGCCCUACGCCGCCCUGAUGUCCCAAGUGUGACCACGACCCCCCCCCCCCCCCCUGCAUGUUCACAACAUGAAACGAGGAUGAAGUGGUGGUGUAAGACUGCCCUCUGUACUCACCCGGUACGAGGACAACUUACCUGUCCACAACCGAAGUCCAGAUCCGAUGACACUUUGGCCCGGACUUCCAGGUGUAGAGGAAUCGCCACGACAAUUAAGCAGAAAUUGUUGCUUUUAUCUAGAGAAUGUAUCCAAACUGUUUGAUGCCUUUUUAUUGUAUGCAAGUAAACUCAUGUUUGCCAA